Non-coding RNA from Plenodomus lindquistii, 108 nucleotides. Lineage: Eukaryota; Fungi; Ascomycota; Dothideomycetes; Pleosporales; Leptosphaeriaceae. The record is from the annotation of a GenBank genome assembly.
GCAUCGGUGGUUUAGUGGUAAAAUUAGCCGUUGCCAUAGUGAUUCACCUCUUCUGAGUUGUCUCCUGACAGUUUCGGCUAGCCCCGGGUUCGAUUCCCGGCCGAUGCA